GAUGAAGAACGUAGCGAAAUGCGAUAAGUAGUGUGAAUUGCAGAAUUCAGUGAAUCAUCGAAUCUUUGAACGCACAUUGCGCCCCUUGGUAUUCCAUGGGGCAUGCCUGUUCGAGCGUCAUUUGUACCUUCAAGCUCUGCUUGGUGUUGGGUGUUUGUCUCGCCUCUGCGCGCAGACUCGCCUCAAAACGAUUGGCAGCCGGCGUAUUGAUUUCGGAGCGCAGUACAUCUCGCGCUUUGACAACAAAACGACGACGUCCAAAAAGUACAUUUUUUACACUCUUGACCUCGGAUCAGGUAGGGAUACCCGCUGACCUUAAGCAUAUCAAUAAGCGGAGGA
This 339-nucleotide unclassified non-coding RNA is filed under the name soil metagenome. RNAcentral's name for it is "partial contains 5.8S ribosomal RNA, internal transcribed spacer 2, and large subunit ribosomal RNA". The stretch from base 1 to 120 matches the Rfam family "5.8S ribosomal RNA", at positions 35 to 154 of the family's 154-position model. The record is from RNAcentral.